Molecule: non-coding RNA, 95 nt
Organism: Vulcanisaeta sp. JCHS_4
Lineage: Archaea; Thermoproteati; Thermoproteota; Thermoprotei; Thermoproteales; Thermoproteaceae
Source: Rfam
GGGCCCGUAGCUUAGCCAGGUAGAGCGCCCUGGGGCAAAAGCCCCGCGUAAGGCUCAUAACCGGGAGGUCCCGGGUUCAAAUCCCGGCGGGCCCA